UCAAGUUUCUAAGGGCAAACGGUGGAUGCCUUGGCAUCUGGAGCCGAAGAAGGACGUAGCAAUCUGCGAUAAGCCUCGGGGAGCUGAUAAGCGAGCUUUGAUCCGAGGAUGUCCGAAUGGGGAAACCCCGCCGGGCGGCGUGCCGACCUGGUGACUCCCGCCUGAAUAUAUAGGGCGGGUAGAGGGAACGUGGGGAAGUGAAACAUCUCAGUACCCACAGGAAGAGAAAACAACAGUGAUUCCGUCAGUAGUGGCGAGCGAACGCGGAUCAGGCUAAACCGGUCAUGUGUGAUAGCCGGCAGGCGUUGCAUGGUCGGGGUUGCGGGACUUUCCUGGAGAUCUGCCGAUCUCCGAGGGUUACAGCGCGAUAUAGACGAACGGUCUUGAAAGGCCGGUCAUAGAGGGUGCCAACCCCGUAGUCGAAAUGUCGUUAUGGCCCGGAGAGUAUCCCAAGUAGCACGGGGCCCGAGAAAUCCCGUGUGAAUCUGUCAGGACCACCUGAUAAGCCUAAAUACUCCCAGAUGACCGAUAGCGGACAAGUACCGUGAGGGAAAGGUGAAAAGUACCCCGGGAGGGGAGUGAAAUAGUACCUGAAACCGUUUGCCUACAAACCGUCGGAGCCGCCCUAGCAGCGGUGACGGCGUGCCUUUUGAAGAAUGAGCCUGCGAGUUAGCGAUAUGUGGCGAGGUUAACCCGUGUGGGGUAGCCGUAGCGAAAGCGAGUCUGAAUAGGGCGAGUCAGUCGCAUGUCCUAGACCCGAAGCGAAGUGAUCUAUCCAUGGCCAGGUUGAAGCGACGGUAAGACGUCGUGGAGGACCGAACCCACUUAGGUUGAAAACUGAGGGGAUGAGCUGUGGAUAGGGGUGAAAGGCCAAUCAAACUUCGUGAUAGCUGGUUCUCUCCGAAAUGCAUUUAGGUGCAGCGUUGCGUGUUUCUUGCCGGAGGUAGAGCUACUGGAUGGCCGAUGGGCCCCAAAAGGUUACUGACGUCAGCCAAACUCCGAAUGCCGGUAAGUGAGAGCGCAGCAGUGAGACGGUGGGGGAUAAGCUUCAUCGUCGAGAGGGAAACAACCCAGACUACCGACUAAGGUCCCUAAGCGUGUGCUAAGUGGGAAAGGAUGUGGAGUUGCACAGACAACCAGGAGGUUGGCUUAGAAGCAGCCACCCUUGAAAGAGUGCGUAAUAGCUCACUGGUCAAGUGAUUCCGCGCCGACAAUGUAACGGGGCUCAAGCACACCACCGAAGUCGUAGGAUUCGCAUAGUAGGCAGGCCUUCGUGGUCCAGCCGUGCGGAUCGGUAGGAGAGCGUCGUGUGGCCAGCGAAGCGGCGGUGUGAACCAGCCGUGGAGGCCACACGAGUGAGAAUGCAGGCAUGAGUAGCGAAAGACGGGUGAGAAACCCGUCCUCCGAAAGACCAAGGGUUCCAGGGCCAGGUUAAUCCGCCCUGGGUAAGUCGGGACCUAAGGCGAGGCCGACAGGCGUAGUCGAUGGACAACGGGUUGAUAUUCCCGUACUGACGAAGAACCGCCCCAGUCAAUCCAGUGAUGCUAAGUGUCUGAAUCCUUGACCGACGAUCCCUUCGGGGUGAGCGGCAAGGCCUAGCACACGACCCUAUGCUGGUGCGGCUAGCGUAUUAACAGGUGUGACGCAGGAAGGUAGCUGAGCCGGGCGAUGGUAGUCCCGGUGUAAGGACGUAGGGCGAACGAUAGGCAAAUCCGUCGUUCACGCAGCCUGAGAUCCGAUGCGUAUCCCUCACGGGAGAAAUCAGUGAUCCUAUGCUGCCGAGAAAAGCAUCGACGCGAGGUUCCAGUCACCCGUACCCCAAACCGACUCAGGUGGUCAGGUAGAGAAUACCAAGGAGAUCGAGAGAAUCGUGGUUAAGGAACUCGGCAAAAUGCCCCCGUAACUUCGGGAGAAGGGGGGCCGGAUGCGUGAAGGGACUAGCUCCCGGAGCGUUGAAGGCCGCAGAGACCAGUGGGAAGCGACUGUUUACUAAAAACACAGGUCCGUGCCAAGUCGCAAGACGAUGUAUACGGACUGACGCCUGCCCGGUGCUGGAAGGUUAAGAGGAGUGGUCAGCGCAAGCGAAGCUACGAAUUUAAGCCCCAGUAAACGGCGGUGGUAACUAUAACCAUCCUAAGGUAGCGAAAUUCCUUGUCGGGUAAGUUCCG
Molecule: ribosomal RNA, 2168 nt
Filed under: sediment metagenome
Description: bacterial LSU rRNA
Rfam family: Bacterial large subunit ribosomal RNA
Source: RNAcentral